RNAcentral lists this transfer RNA (72 nucleotides) under bacterium. Its description in RNAcentral is "tRNA-Arg". It matches the Rfam family "tRNA". From Rfam's summary of the family: Transfer RNA (tRNA) molecules are approximately 80 nucleotides in length. Their secondary structure includes four short double-helical elements and three loops (D, anti-codon, and T loops). The record is from RNAcentral.
GCCCUCAUAGUUCAAUGGACAGAACGCUAGCUUGCGGAGCUUGUAAUAGAGGUUCGACUCCUCUUGAGGGCA